UACGGAGGAGGCAAGCGUUAUCCGGAAUUAUUGGGCGUAAAGCGUCCGCAGGUGGCAGUUCAAGUCUGCUGCCAAAGACCGGGGCUUAACUUCGGAAUGGCAGUGGAAACUGAACAGCUAGAGUAUGGUAGGGGCAGAGGGAAUUCCUGGUGUAGCGGUGAAAUGCGUAGAGAUCAGGAAGAACAUCGGUGGCGAAGGCGCUCUGCUGGACCAUAACUGACACUCAGGGACGAAAGCUAGGGGAGCGAAUGGG
RNAcentral lists this ribosomal RNA (253 nucleotides) under uncultured bacterium. Its description in RNAcentral is "partial 16S ribosomal RNA". It matches the Rfam family "Bacterial small subunit ribosomal RNA", at positions 524 to 776 of the family's 1533-position model. The record is from RNAcentral.